Molecule: transfer RNA, 63 nt
Filed under: Curtos bilineatus
Lineage: Eukaryota; Metazoa; Arthropoda; Insecta; Coleoptera; Lampyridae
Description: tRNA-His
Source: RNAcentral
AUUUAAAUAGUUUAAUUAAAAAUUUUGAUUUGUGGUAUCGAGGAUGUAAUCUUACUUUAAAUU